CCGACCUUAGCUCAGUUGGAAGAGCACGAGACUGUAACAGGCUAAACACUUCAUCUCGGGGUCGCCUGUUCGAACCAGGCAGGUCGGA
This is a non-coding RNA of Rhodocollybia butyracea, 88 nucleotides long. NCBI's taxonomy places the organism in Eukaryota, Fungi, Basidiomycota, Agaricomycetes, Agaricales, Omphalotaceae. The record is from the annotation of a GenBank genome assembly.